GAUGAAGAGCGUAGCGAAAUGCGAUAAGUAAUGUGAAUUGCAGAAUUCAGUGAAUCAUCGAAUCUUUGAACGCACAUUGCGCCCGCCAGCAUUCUGGCGGGCAUGCCUGUUCGAGCGUCAUUUCAACCCUCGACUUCCCUUUGGGGAAAUCGGCGUUGGGGACCGGCUGUAUACCGCCGGCCCCGAAAUGAAGUGGCGGCCCGUCCGCGGCGACCUCUGCGUAGUAAUCCAACUCGCACCGGAACCCCGACGUGGCCACGCCGUAAAACCCCCGACUUCUGAACGUUGACCUCGGAUCAGGUAGGAAUACCCGCUGAACUUAAGCAUAUCAAUAAGCGGAGGA
Molecule: unclassified non-coding RNA, 343 nt
Filed under: soil metagenome
Description: partial contains 5.8S ribosomal RNA, internal transcribed spacer 2, and large subunit ribosomal RNA
Rfam family: 5.8S ribosomal RNA (bases 1-120)
Source: RNAcentral